Strigops habroptila (Kakapo) is the source of this 2064-nucleotide long non-coding RNA. NCBI's taxonomy places the organism in Eukaryota, Metazoa, Chordata, Aves, Psittaciformes, Psittacidae. The record is from Ensembl.
AACCAAAACAUGAAGAGCAGACUGAGGCUCAAGAUACAGCUGUCGACAACCUUCUGGAGGAUGUGAAUGAAGCCACAGAGCCAGAUGAAAUAUCAGAAGAUGUUGAUAUUGGUAAAGACCUGUCAGUAGAAAGUGAGCAUACAGAAGAUCUUGUGACCACUGAACCAGAGGAAUCAGAAGUUCCUGUUAAAGCUGAGGAUUAUUCAAAUGACAAUCUAGUGGAUACUUAAAGCUUCAAAAAGAAAAGUCCCUACAUCAGGAGGACCAGCCCUAACCAUACGCUACAAAAGGGGAGCAGAUGGUUGUAAUAGAUCUUAUGACGUAAUUACCGAGCAGUUCAGGGUUUGGGGAAUGAACACUAAGAUACUGUAAAUGGGUUUUAGCCAACUGUCAUUUUAGUAAGUUUUUUUUAACACUUGGAUGUUUAAUUUACAUUCCUGUCUGAUUUCUCCCCUCUGCCCCCUUGGUCAAGUUUAGUGAAUUCAUUAUUUUUCUUCUGUGUUUGUAAUGGAGUUGCAACUUUGAGCUACAUUUCAGAUGUGCUGUUCAAGCAAUUGUUAAUAUUCUAUUUAUAACGCGACAGCAAGUACAUUUUUUCAGAUUUUAGUAUAUAUCUUUUGUUGUGGAUUCAUACAGUAUGUACAGAGCAGUUUGGUCCCAUGAAACACAUAUUAUGAAUUUUUAGAUGUUUUAUAACUGCUGAUAUAGCAUACAGCCUGACUGCAUUUUAUUGAAAACACUAAUCAGGCGCCCACUAUGCUGUGAAAUUUGACUUGUAUCUCUUUGCACUGAUGUUAUGUCAACAGUUACACUACAUGAAUUUCAGGUAUUUUUAAAAUAGUCUAACAAGGUACAAAAAUGUGUAUGUUUAAUUCAUGCUAGUAAAAAGGCAGUUUACUAGAUUACUUUUUUCAGAAAACUUUUGUGUGUGAAUUCAAACUUUUUAUUUAUUCACAUCUGAUUUUUAAAGCAAAAAUAUCUAGAAACUAUGUAAUAGCUUGGCAGGGAGUCAGUGUACAUUGCAGUGAAACUGAGUUGCUGGAAUCAGGUUGAGUUCAGUAAAAUAAUAAAAAUAAUAAGAAAUAAUGCUGAAUUUAGUAAGCUGUAUAUUCAGUGAAUUAAUUUAAGUCGAAUUUGCUUAAAUACUUGACUUGAAAAUUUUAUUUAAAAAAAUUGGAAAUUCAACCAUAAGAAAAUAGGAUAUCUAAAUUUAAGACCUAAAAUCAUAAAUGCUCUUGUAAAUAAUCUGUCUGAAAUUUAGACUUCAAGUGAUUUAGAAUUUUAAUAUAACAGGUGUACUUUUUACCUGUUCUGUGCUGCUGUUCCACAAUUACGAAGACUUUUUUUUUUGUUGCCAUUUUGCAUGUGUUUCUUUUUGGCUCAGGAAUGAUUGCUAUGAUUUUAGAAAAUUGCUAAGCCUGAAAUGGGAGGUUAGAAGAAAUAAGAUAAAUUUUGAAGGAAAAAAAAAUCAAUUUAGUAACCCUAACAGUGGUUGCCUUUUGAUUGACAGGGAAAUUUUAAAUUUCUGUAGCACUGUUUUGAAGUCAGGUUUUUAGUUGCUUACAUUUACAGUGAAAGGGGCAUCAUAUAUGCUUGCCUUUUUUUGUUUGGGAUUUCAGGAAGACUUCACUUAAGUGAGUGGUACAUCUGAUCAACAAACACAGAUGUCCCAAAGUGAUUUCUUUAGACCUGUCAGGAAAGCAAUAAUACUCUUAGACUGUGAUGUGGUUUGGGGUGGGAUAUUCUAGUAAAAUCACCUGUGAUUGUGAAUUGCAGAGCAAUAAUUUUUACAAAGCCAUAUUUUGUGAGGAAGCUUGGGAAUAAUUUUAGAAUGGUGGAUGGAGGACUUUUUGUAUUACAGUGGCAGCCUAUUUGUAGAAUUAUGGGACUGUGAGAAUAUAUUAUGCUGUGAUCAACUUUUAAGUAUUUUGUAACUGGGUAUGUGAUUUUACGUGCUUCAUGUUUACAAAAAUAUGCCAAGCUGAGCAAGGUCAAGUGGACUAUUAAAAAAUGUAUAUUUAAUCUGUUUUAAUGUUUGGCUGCAAUAAAACACAGAAGAAUAUA